RNAcentral lists this long non-coding RNA (211 nucleotides) under Musa acuminata (dwarf banana). Its description in RNAcentral is "long non-coding RNA (MACU_LNC011539)". The record is from RNAcentral. Lineage: Eukaryota; Viridiplantae; Streptophyta; Magnoliopsida; Zingiberales; Musaceae.
UAUGAGACAGUGACUCUUUCUUCUUGUUCAAGGGGCAGUCUUUUAUUUUAUGAUCCAACUUUCCACAAGCAAAAUAGACUCUAGUCACCCGAAAACACAAAUUUGUUUCAUAAUUUAACUUGUAAUUCAUACAUGAUUGAGUCUUUUGUGGUGACUUCCCAUUUCAAAUCCAAAUGUCUUGACCCUCUUGUUAUUACUUUCUGAUUCAUUU